UGGGGUAUAGCUCAGUGGUAGAGCAUUUGAUUGCGGAUCAAGAGCUCCCUGGUUCAAAUCUACUGUAA
Molecule: transfer RNA, 68 nt
Filed under: Danio rerio (zebrafish)
Lineage: Eukaryota; Metazoa; Chordata; Actinopteri; Cypriniformes; Danionidae
Rfam family: tRNA
About the family: Transfer RNA (tRNA) molecules are approximately 80 nucleotides in length.
Source: Rfam by way of RNAcentral